UACAGAGGUCUCAAGCGUUGUUCGGAUUCAUUGGGCGUAAAGGGUGCGUAGGUGGCGCCGUAAGUCAGGUGUGAAAUCUCGGGGCUCAACCCCGAAACUGCACUUGAUACUGCGGUGCUCGAGUACUGGAGAGGAGAUUGGAAUUUACGGUGUAGCAGUGAAAUGCGCAGAUAUCAGGAGGAACACCAAUUGCGAAGGCAGCUGGCUACACAAAUAUUGACACUGAGGCACGAAAGCGUGGGGAUCAAACAGG
This 253-nucleotide ribosomal RNA is filed under the name uncultured bacterium. RNAcentral's name for it is "partial 16S ribosomal RNA". It matches the Rfam family "Bacterial small subunit ribosomal RNA", at positions 524 to 776 of the family's 1533-position model. The record is from RNAcentral.